AACGUAGGAGACAAACGUUAUCCGGAGUUACUGGGCGUAAAGGGCGUGCAGGUGGUCUGUUAAGUCUGGCGUGAAAGCUCUCGGCUAAACCGGGAGAGGUCGUUGGAUACUGGCGGACUAGAGGACGGUAGAGGCGUGUGGAGUUCCGGGUGUAGUGGUGAAAUGCGUAGAGAUCCGGAAGAACACCGGUGGCGAAGGCGGCCUGCUGGGCAGUAGCUGACGCUGAGGCGCGACAGCGUGGGGAGCAAACAGG
This 253-nucleotide ribosomal RNA is filed under the name uncultured bacterium. Its description in RNAcentral is "partial 16S ribosomal RNA". It matches the Rfam family "Bacterial small subunit ribosomal RNA", at positions 524 to 776 of the family's 1533-position model. The record is from RNAcentral.